This 253-nucleotide ribosomal RNA is filed under the name uncultured bacterium. RNAcentral describes it as "partial 16S ribosomal RNA". It matches the Rfam family "Bacterial small subunit ribosomal RNA", at positions 524 to 776 of the family's 1533-position model. The record is from RNAcentral.
UACGAAGGGGGCUAGCGUUGCUCGGAAUUACUGGGCGUAAAGGGCGCGUAGGCGGCCUGCUAAGUCGAACGUGAAAUCCCCGGGCUCAACCCGGGAACUGCGUCCGAUACUGACAGGCUCGAAUCCGGGAGAGGGAUGUGGAAUUCCAGGUGUAGCGGUGAAAUGCGUAGAUAUCUGGAGGAACACCGGUGGCGAAGGCGGCAUCCUGGACCGGUAUUGACGCUGAGGCGCGAAAGCCAGGGGAGCAAACGGG